UUAGCUCAUGUUUGUAUGGAAUGGGAUGGUUUGCCUACGUUUGCCGCUAGGGACACUGUUCCGACUGCAUACAAAAUUGGGUUA
Molecule: microRNA precursor, 84 nt
Filed under: Bombyx mori (domestic silkworm)
Lineage: Eukaryota; Metazoa; Arthropoda; Insecta; Lepidoptera; Bombycidae
Description: mir-2807 microRNA precursor family
Rfam family: mir-2807 microRNA precursor family
Source: Rfam by way of RNAcentral